Molecule: ribosomal RNA, 253 nt
Filed under: [Lactobacillus] rogosae
Lineage: Bacteria; Bacillati; Bacillota; Clostridia; Lachnospirales; Lachnospiraceae
Description: Lactobacillus rogosae partial 16S ribosomal RNA
Rfam family: Bacterial small subunit ribosomal RNA
Source: RNAcentral
UACGUAUGGAGCAAGCGUUAUCCGGAUUUACUGGGUGUAAAGGGAGUGUAGGUGGCCAGGCAAGUCAGAAGUGAAAGCCCGGGGCUCAACCCCGGGACUGCUUUUGAAACUGCAGGGCUAGAGUGCAGGAGGGGCAAGUGGAAUUCCUAGUGUAGCGGUGAAAUGCGUAGAUAUUAGGAGGAACACCAGCGGCGAAGGCGGCUUGCUGGACUGUAACUGACACUGAGGCUCGAAAGCGUGGGGAGCAAACAGG